GAUGAACGCUGGCGGCGUGCCUAAUACAUGCAAGUCGAGCGAACGGACGAGAAGCUUGCUUCUCUGAUGUUAGCGGCGGACGGGUGAGUAACACGUGGAUAACCUACCUAUAAGACUGGGAUAACUUCGGGAAACCGGAGCUAAUACCGGAUGAUAUUUUGAACCGCAUUGGUCAAAAGUGAAAGACGGUCUUGCUGUCACUUAUAGAUGGAUCCGCGCUGCAUUAGCUAGUUGGUAAGGUAACGGCGUACCAAGGCAACGAUGCGUAGCCGACCUGAGAGGGUGAUCGGCCACACUGGAACUGAGACACGGUCCAGACUCCUACGGGAGGCAGCAGUAGGGAAUCUUCCGCAAUGGGCGAAAGCCUGACGGAGCAACGCCGCGUGAGUGAUGAAGGUCUUCGGAUCGUAAAACUCUGUUAUUAGGGAAGAACAUAUGUGUAAGUAACUGUGCACAUAUUGACGGUACCUAAUCAGAAAGCCACGGCUAACUACGUG
This 497-nucleotide ribosomal RNA is filed under the name uncultured bacterium. RNAcentral's name for it is "partial 16S ribosomal RNA". It matches the Rfam family "Bacterial small subunit ribosomal RNA", at positions 28 to 507 of the family's 1533-position model. The record is from RNAcentral.